GCCUGGUUGGAAGGUAGUGAGUUAUCUUAAUUGAUUGUUCACAGUCAGUUACAGAUCGAACUCCUUGUUCUAUUCUUCCGCCCGCUUCUCACUGCUGCACUUGACUAGUCUGGA
This is an unclassified non-coding RNA of Gorilla gorilla gorilla (western lowland gorilla), 114 nucleotides long. It matches the Rfam family "Y RNA". Rfam says of the family: Y RNAs are components of the Ro ribonucleoprotein particle (Ro RNP), in association with Ro60 and La proteins. The Y RNAs and Ro60 and La proteins are well conserved, but the function of the Ro RNP is not known. Lineage: Eukaryota; Metazoa; Chordata; Mammalia; Primates; Hominidae. The record is from Ensembl.